AUUGAACGCUGGCGGCAGGCCUAACACAUGCAAGUCGAGCGAUAACGGUCUUCGGACUUAUUAAAGCGGCGGACGGGUGAGUAACGCGUGGGAAUCUACCAAGUAGUGGGGGACAACAGUUGGAAACGGCUGCUAAUACCGCAUACGCCCUAAGGGGGAAAGCAGGGGAUCUUCGGACCUUGCGCUAUUUGAUGAGCCCGCGUUAGAUUAGCUAGUUGGUGGGGUAAAGGCCCACCAAGGCGACGAUCUAUAGCUGGUCUGAGAGGAUGAUCAGCCACACUGGAACUGAGACACGGUCCAGACUCCUACGGGAGGCAGCAGUGGGGAAUAUUGCACAAUGGGGGAAACCCUGAUGCAGCCAUGCCGCGUGUGUGAAGAAGGCUCUAGGGUUGUAAAGCACUUUCAGCGAGGAGGAAAGGGUGUUGUUUAAUAUGCAACAUCUGUGACGUUACUCGCAGAAGAAGCACCGGCUAACUCCG
This 479-nucleotide ribosomal RNA is filed under the name uncultured Candidatus Endobugula sp. Its description in RNAcentral is "bacterial SSU rRNA". It matches the Rfam family "Bacterial small subunit ribosomal RNA", at positions 30 to 505 of the family's 1533-position model. The record is from RNAcentral. Lineage: Bacteria; Pseudomonadati; Pseudomonadota; Gammaproteobacteria; Cellvibrionales; Cellvibrionaceae.